This 395-nucleotide unclassified non-coding RNA is filed under the name soil metagenome. Its description in RNAcentral is "partial contains 5.8S ribosomal RNA, internal transcribed spacer 2, and large subunit ribosomal RNA". The stretch from base 1 to 122 matches the Rfam family "5.8S ribosomal RNA", at positions 35 to 154 of the family's 154-position model. The record is from RNAcentral.
GAUGAAGAACGUAGCGAAAUGCGAUACUUGGUGUGAAUUGCAGAAUCCCGUGAACCAUCGAGUCUUUGAACGCAAGUUGCGCCCGAGGCCUCCUGGUCGAGGGCACGUCUGCCUGGGUGUCACGCAUCGUCGCCCCCGCUCCCCUCGGCUCACGAGGGCGGGGGCGGAUACUGGUCUCCCGCGUGCUCCCGCCCGUGGUUGGCCUAAAAUCGAGUCCCUGGCGACAGUCGCCACGACAAGCGGUGGUUGAGAGACCCUCGGACUCGGUCGUGCGCGUGCUUGUCGCCCCCGGGACCUCCCGGACCCCCGAGCAUUGGCUUUCAGGGAUGCUCUCGUUGCGACCCCAGGUCAGGCGGGACUACCCGCUGAGUUUAAGCAUAUCAAUAAGCGGAGGA